AGUGAACGCUGGCGGUAGGCCUAACACAUGCAAGUCGAACGGCAGCACAGUAAGAGCUUGCUCUUACGGGUGGCGAGUGGCGGACGGGUGAGGAAUACAUCGGAAUCUACUUUUUCGUGGGGGAUAACGUAGGGAAACUUACGCUAAUACCGCAUACGACCUACGGGUGAAAGCAGGGGAUCUUCGGACCUUGCGCGAUUGAAUGAGCCGAUGUCGGAUUAGCUAGUUGGCGGGGUAAAGGCCCACCAAGGCGACGAUCCGUAGCUGAUCUGAGAGGAUGAUCGGCAACCCUGGACCUGGGCACCGGUCAGGCUUCCUACGGAAGCCGCAGGUGGGAAUUUUUCGCCAUUGGGCGAAACCUUGCUCCGGCCAUCCCGGUUGGGUAAGGAGGUCUUUCGGGUUGUAAAGCCCUUUUGUUGGGAAAGAAAAGUGGCUGGUUAACUCCCCGCUGUUCUACGGUAACCAAAAGAAAAGGCACCGCCAACCUCGGU
Molecule: ribosomal RNA, 491 nt
Filed under: uncultured bacterium
Lineage: Bacteria
Description: partial 16S ribosomal RNA
Rfam family: Bacterial small subunit ribosomal RNA
Source: RNAcentral